UAGGGAAUCUUCGGCAAUGGGGGGAACCCUGACCGAGCAACGCCGCGUGAGUGAAGAAGGUUUUCGGAUCGUAAAGCUCUGUUGUUAAGGAAGAACGAGUGUGAGAAUGGAAAGUUCAUACUGUGACGGUACUUAACCAGAAAGGGACGGCUAACUACGCGCCAGCAGCCGCGGUAAUACGUAGGUCCCGAGCGUUGUCCGGAUUUAUUGGGCGUAAAGCGAGCGCAGGCGGUUAGAUAAGUCUGAAGUUAAAGGCAGUGGCUCAACCAUUGUAGGCUUUGGAAACUGUUUAACUUGAGUGCAGAAGGGGAGAGUGGAAUUCCAUGUGUAGCGGUGAAAUGCGCAGAGAUAUGGAGGAACACCAGUGGCGAAGGCGACUUUCUGGUCUGUAACUGACGCUGAUGUGCGAAAGCGUGGGUAGCAAACAGG
Molecule: ribosomal RNA, 429 nt
Filed under: Bacteroidota bacterium
Lineage: Bacteria; Pseudomonadati; Bacteroidota
Description: Bacteroidetes bacterium partial 16S ribosomal RNA
Rfam family: Bacterial small subunit ribosomal RNA
Source: RNAcentral